GAACGCAUAUUGCGCUCUUUGGUAUUCCGAAGAGCAUGCUUGUUUGAGUAUCAGUAAACACCUCAAAACUCUUGAUCUUUUUCAAGCGUUUUGGACUUGAGCAAACCCAACGCCUUUUCUUUUAAGAUCUGUUGCGGCGGGUUGCUUGAAAUGCAGGUGCAGCUGGACUUUUAUCUGAGCUAAAAGCAUAUCUAUUUAGUCCUCGUCAAACAGGAUUAUUACUUUUGCUGCAGCUAACAUAAAGGAUAAUUGUCCUCUUUGCUGACUGAUGCAGGAUUUUACGACACUUUAUGUGUUGUUCAACUCGAUCUCAAAUCAAGUAAGACUACCCGCUGAACUUAAG
Molecule: unclassified non-coding RNA, 343 nt
Filed under: uncultured fungus
Lineage: Eukaryota; Fungi
Description: sequence contains 5.8S rRNA gene
Rfam family: 5.8S ribosomal RNA (bases 1-53)
Source: RNAcentral